Molecule: long non-coding RNA, 685 nt
Organism: Zea mays
Lineage: Eukaryota; Viridiplantae; Streptophyta; Magnoliopsida; Poales; Poaceae
Exons: 4
Source: RefSeq, a predicted model, not a curated record
UUCGUCCCUUUCCUCCGUAAGUAUAUAGUUCACUUGUCACAUUUAUAUAUGAAUUACAAACUUAAGCUACAGUUUGUGUUUUAUAUAGUUUCGUGUUAUUUGAUGAUAUUCAAGAUUUCAAUAACUUACCACACGUAAAGAGUAUCUUUGCGAGGGUAGUUGUUAAGUUUCCUAGGCGUCAUGAUAGUCAACACUUCAUCCUACAGGAUAUCACAGGAUCCAAAAUGGAAGCAAUUUCAAGUCGCAAUAAUGUUCCACGUUUCGAUGCCUUACUCACACAAGGAUGCACAUAUACAUUGUAUAGAGUGGGAUUCUGUCUAAAUAGGGAGGGGAUUCAAUUUCGGAAUAUUGGACAUGGGCUAGAGAUCGGACUGAUAACACAUACUAUUGUGGAGCCAUUCAUUAAGCCAAUCCAAUUUCCUCCAUUUCCAAAGUAUCUUAUGCCAUUCCAUAAGGUGUAUCAACAACCGCAUAAGUCGUUCGUAGACAUUAUUGGCAUAGUUCUUCAUUUAGAGCCAUUAAAGCAUAUCGGUGGAAGGCCGUAUAGAGAGGCUGUACUAAUGGAUUCCAGGUGGGAUCUAAUCGUCGUGGGGGUAUGGACUGACCUCUUGCAAAGAAAUGCUCUACGAUGGUCGUUAGCUAGAGUUGACAAUAACAUCAUUAUUGGAACUAUGUUGCGUCGUAA